CCUAGCGUGCCCGUCUCCCAUAGGUUUUAGCCUUCUCCUAGCAUGCCCGUCGCCCAUAGGUUUUAGCCUCCCUCCUAGCGUGCCCGUCUCCCAUGCUCGAGUCCAGCUAGUCCAGAGUGGAACUGUGCCUGUCUCACUCCAGGCUAAACUAGCAUGACACUCUCUCCCAUUGUAAAUCAAAUCAAACUUAUUUAUACGGCGCAUUUCAUACCAAAGGGCAACACAACGCGCUUCUAGGUCUACUGACUCUGUGGAAGUUCCUCUGAAAUGUGGAAGCUUGUGUCAUAACACUCUUGAAUGGCCUCUGGAGGCAUUGGCUCUUACCUGCUAGUUGACAUUUGUAAAUAAGUAGCCAGCACUAAGCUACCUUAACUUAAAUUUCAUACUUUGCUUGAUAAUGGUGAAACAUGAUUAAGCCAUGUUUUGCUUAUUGAUCAAUAAAAGAAAAAAAAACAGUAGUCAAAAGUAGAGGUGCCUGAUGAACAUAGUGGGGCAGCCAAACUGCAAAUGCAGAGUUGUGUCCUUCAUCCACAUAGUACGCACAGAAAAAAGUUGCACAUAGUAGUUUAGAUAACUGUGUCAUAAAAUAUACGCUUGUAAAAUAAAAUGAGACCUUUGUUAGAUUGUCACAAAUUAUUAUGAGGCAAAUGUUUAGACUUUUAAAUGGGACAUAAUUAACAUUUUUUUUUAUGUUUAGUAGUGAUACCUUCCCAUUUUUACAUUGUAGAUGCUUUAUAACAUUAUUAUUGACCCAAACUGCUGUGUAUGAAAUGUACCAACCCUUAAGGUGCCAUAUUAGGUAGUUGCAUGUUUCAUAUCACCACCGAAACCCAUCAAAGCCUUGCCUUUCUGUGCAUCACUAACUUUCUUUAGUCCCAUUCUCCUGGUCGUUGGGUCUUUCUAAACUGCUGUUCUUUUCGCAGUGGGGCUGUCAAGGCUUUUACUUAUUUCAGUCCCAUUUUUCCUGGUCUUUGGGUCUUUCUAAACUACUGUUUCGGGCUCUUCGCAGUGGGGCUGUCAACGCUUUUAGAGCAGCUGCUCCAACCCUAUGACACCUCCCUCCAAACCCCUCUGUCAGCUCUCUCUUACUGCUGUUGUCUGUUCAUGUUGUUAAAAUGGUUGUCCACCCGCUG
Clupea harengus (Atlantic herring) is the source of this 1133-nucleotide long non-coding RNA. Lineage: Eukaryota; Metazoa; Chordata; Actinopteri; Clupeiformes; Clupeidae. The record is from Ensembl.